GUCUUCACUCCUUCCUGCUACCGCCUUGGAGUGCUGCCAUGGCUGGUUGUCGCCGUCUGUUGCCGGGCGUUGCCCUCGCGGUCCCAGAAUUUCUGUUGCCGGCCCGGCGGGUCACUGCCUCGGCCGCACCUCGCUUCAGUGGUUUGGCCUUGGCGGCGCUCCUCGCCACCCCUUGGUCGAGGCCCGGCGGACUCCGCCCAGUCACAUGCCCAUUCCGUGUGGUGGGGCCUCUUUGGCUUCCCCACUGCAGGCCUUCGCCGUUGCCGAUUCUAGGGGGUGGCGGACUGCCGUGGGUUGUUCCACCUUGGUGCGGCAUGGCGAAGGUUGGAGGACUGCUCUGGGGUAUGGGGGCAAGGCGAAAGCCUCUGCUUGCCUGCGAGCAAAUGAGGGCGAUGCCUUCAGGCGCCGUUUACCUCGUUGGAGGCAUCAUUCUUCUGCCCUCUCCCCUCUUGCGCAGGUGAACUUCUUCGGUGAAAACCCUGACUGUGUCGGUCAGGCGAUGACGGCGACAUUGGCAUCGUAUCCCUCCCUGGAGGCAUCAUCUUGGAAGUUCACGCUGGUGUGCAAAUGUCAUGGUGGUGGUCGUCGUUAACUCUUCACAAGACAAAUUUUCUUCUGCACUUGCCUUCGCUUUGAAUUGUCCAUUGUCGCCUUGGUUGCUUGGACCGCUGUCUUCUGGCAGAUGCUUUGCUGCCAUGGUCAUGUUGUUUGGUGCUUGCCUUGGUGGAUGCUUCGCCAUCCCGGAUGUUGUUGUUGGGUGGAUGCUUUGCCACCGUUUGUGGUACAGGUGGAUGCUUUGCUGCCAUAUUGCUGCUUGGGUGGAUACUUUGCCACCUGGUCGUGGCAGAUACUUUGCCGCCGGUUCUUGUACUCUGGCGGUUGCUUUGCCGUGGUGGUUGCGUUCUUCAAGCUUCUUUGACGAUGGUGUAUCCCUUUUGCAGGCUCAGUUUUUUUGUAACCUUGUUAGGGUGGUUGGGUUGGGUGUGUCCUCCCUUCCCUUCUUGCUGCUGCCUGUUGUUGUUGUUGUUGUUGUGGUUGCGGCUUUUGUUGCUGCCCGCUGUGUGUUGGUUAUACUUUUCUUUAGUGUUUCUUUUUCUUUAGUCCUUUGUGUUCUUGUGUUAGCCAAGUUCUGUUUGGCUGCACCAAGAUUUGUUUGUAAACUGCUUUCUUCUUAAUGAAAUACGUGCUCAGGCACGGCCACAAAAAAAAAGACAGCCUUGGGUCUCGCCUUCUUGCAGCGCCGAUGAAAUCCACCCAUUAGCACAUCCAACAUCUGGGCAUCGUGGCGGUCUAAUUCCAAGCUAUUUGCACCACGCACCUUUACCACAACACGCCCCUUCUAUUGCUGUUUGCCGCCAUGCCAUCACUUCUUGUCACUGGUUUCCCUCUAGCCUAUCCUAGAUUUGUCGCCAUCGUACAUUGUCCCCCAUCACAAAAAAUUCGCUCUCAUUGUCAGUGAUCGCCGUAGUUGAAGAGGAGGAAGAUGGGAGCACAAACAUUGGUGCAAUGGUAAGGUUACUGUCUUCCCCAUUUUAAGCAUCAAGAUUAGCUACUUGAAAAAAUAUGCAUACCCGGUUGCUAUACAAUAUGAUGAUGCUUUAUAGUACAAAUGUACAUAAAAGCAUAAAAGUUAGUAGUGCAUAUGUCAUCCUGGCUGUUCUGCAAACAUUGAUGUAAAAUCCAUGCAUACGAAGUAGGACUGGAGACCAUCCAUGUAAUUAUCGAAAAUGAUCUGUGCCAUGAGUUCUGCCUCUAUCAACCUGAUUGGACUUUUUUUUAAGGGUCAACAGGGGAGAGCAUCUCCGCCUAAUUCAUUUCAUUAUGGCCCCUAACGGCCCGGCAUGAUAAUCGAAGUCUUACAUCAUUUGCAUGGAUUGGCUUGAACAAUAAUAAGUGAACUAUACUAGUCUCUUGGUGCAUAAUUCACUGUCCCCCCUUUUUAUACAUUCUUUUCUCAGUCUCCCUUCAAAUCGGCACAUUUCAUUCAUCUAAAUCCUGACGGUUCUCUAGAGAACAUCCACGUUCCUGCAUUACUCAGAAACCCCACCAUAAUCUGCCAGCUUAUUUUCCAGCCAUAACAAAAGGAGGACUACUUACAUAAACCCAAGACCCAAAGCAAGAUAACAGAGGAUUAAGAUGAGCAAGAUUAACCAAGAAAGCAACCAAAAUGUGAAUAUCAAGUGCGAGGAUACAGAUGAUUGAAAUUUAAUAUGUGAAUCGUUGAAACUGUGGAAACGUCGUACUACAGAGGGUAUUUCUGUUAUCGUGGUGGAAUGGAAGGCCUGUUUUCAGUGCAUUACACAAAUGUGUUUAGGCCCUGUUUAGAUCCUAAAAAAUUUUGCACAGUAUCUGUCACAUCGAAUCUUCGGACACAUACAUGGAGCAUUAAAUGUAGUUGAAAAAAAUAACUAAUUACACAGUUUAACUGA
This is a long non-coding RNA of Panicum virgatum (switchgrass), 2429 nucleotides long. RefSeq lists it as uncharacterized. NCBI's taxonomy places the organism in Eukaryota, Viridiplantae, Streptophyta, Magnoliopsida, Poales, Poaceae. The record is from RefSeq and is a predicted model, not a curated record. The transcript has 3 exons.